UAGGGAAUAUUAGUAAUGGGCGCAAGCCUGAACUAGCAACGCCGCGUGUGCGAAGAAGGCCUUCGGGUUGUAAAGCACUUUUUGAGAGGAUGAGGAAGGACGGUACUCUCAGAAUAAGUCUCGGCUAACUACGUGCCUGCAGCCGCGGUAACACGUAGGAGGCGAACGUUAUCCGGAUUUACUGGGCGUAAAGCGCGUGUAGGUGGUUUGGUAAGUAGGGCGUGAAAGCUCCUGGCUCAACUGGGAGAGGCCGUUCUAAACUGCCGAACUAGAGGAUGGUAGAGGGAGGUGGAAUUCCGGGUGUAGCGGUGGAAUGCGCAGAUAUCCGGAGGAACACCAGUGGCGAAGGCGGCCUCCUGGACCACUCCUGACACUCAGACGCGAAAGCUAGGGUAGCAAACGG
This 403-nucleotide ribosomal RNA is filed under the name uncultured bacterium. Its description in RNAcentral is "bacterial SSU rRNA". It matches the Rfam family "Bacterial small subunit ribosomal RNA", at positions 355 to 775 of the family's 1533-position model. The record is from RNAcentral.